Molecule: ribosomal RNA, 439 nt
Filed under: uncultured bacterium
Lineage: Bacteria
Description: partial 16S ribosomal RNA
Rfam family: Bacterial small subunit ribosomal RNA
Source: RNAcentral
CUACGGGAGGCAGCAGUGGGGAAUAUUGCACAAUGGGGGGAACCCUGAUGCAGCAACGCCGCGUGGAGGAUGACGCAUUUCGGUGUGUAAACUCCUUUUAUAUGUCAAGAAAAUGACGGUAGCAUAUGAAUAAGCGCCGGCUAACUCCGUGCCAGCAGCCGCGGUAAUACGGAGGGCGCAAGCGUUACUCGGAAUCACUGGGCGUAAAGGACGCGUAGGCGGGUUGAAAAGUCAGGUGUGAAAGCCUUCAGCUUAACUGUAGAACUGCACUUGAAACUCUCAAUCUAGAGUAUGGGAGGGGCAGAUGGAAUUAGUGGUGUAGGGGUAAAAUCCGUAGAUAUCACUAGGAAUACCUAAAGCGAAGGCGAUCUGCUAGAACAUUACUGACGCUAAGGCGUGAAAGCGUGGGGAGCAAACAGGAUUAGAUACCCCAGUAGUC